AAAUGGUGGAACAGCAGCCAAGCGCUCACUCAUCGUCUCAGGUCCUCUUAUUUAGGCCUAUUCACCGGUAGAUCAUUUGUACAUCACUCUGGAUAUGGGUGUCUACCAAAUGACAUAAUCAAGGUUACGGAACCAGUUGUGGUAGUCCAGCAUGUCAUUGGUGGUGUUGGUGAGGAGCUGAGAGCGCAGCAAUCUCCAGGGCAAUUCUAGGUGUAGCACCUGUCCUACGACACUGCUCCAGUCAUUCAGAGAGAUGAGACCUGAGAGUGGACCAACAGCAAGAGGAAAAGCUUGUUGUAAUUGUAAUUUUGUAGUUUGCAAAUUUUUAACACUGUCUGAUAUGGAUGAAUGAAUCCAGUCAAUAUUUCAUGAAAUUCCACAUAAAGAACAACAAGUUCUAUAACAUCGCCACCUAGAGAGCGCACAUGGUAAAGCUCAACAACAUUUGAUGUUGUUAUUUUCCAUGUUAAUGUGAAUUCUUUUUAGGAUGGAAUUCACUUUUGAAAUUUGGCAAGGUGAAUAUUUCAUAGGAGUUAAUUAAAUAACACUCAAAUAAUUUAUUUCGCUCAAACAAUUUCCUUUUCCCCCCAGGUUUAUAUCAUGAAUGUGAUAAUGUAGGCAAAAACAGUUUUCAGUUAAUGGCCUGUUUAAAGCAGGUGCAUUUUUUUCAAGCACAUAAGCAUAGGCAGGAGAGUUUAGAGUUUUCCACAAAAAAAAAAAAGACAAAAAUACAACUGGAGUUCUUUAAAUGAAUAUCAGAUGACUUAGAGGAGCUAAAAUUUGACUAAGAAGUAAUAAUCUCUAAUAAUAUGUUACAUUAAUCUAAAGGAAUCUGACUCUGGAUAACCUGCUUUAAUGUGGGUCUUAGGAAAAGAUUGUAGAUGAAAGUGCCACAUUCAGUUUUAUUCCUCAUAGGCAAAAUAGACUGAUGCAGCAGAGCUUUAGUCUGUCCACCUCUCUCACACCUUUAUGUGUACAUGCUGCACACACAGAUCAGAAUACAAAGCUUCAAAUUUCAUUUACUGGUAAAACCACUGUGCAUUUUAUCUUGUAAAUUGCUAGCAAGCUGAGCCAAAUCUCUGUUAUAACUCGGUGCAACUGCUCCAUAUACAUAGAGUUUAAUGGAUCAAUUGCAUCAUUCACAUUGAGUCUGAAAGUUUGUAAGAAGUACUGCACCUGUUUUCUUCUUAUCGUAUUCCUGAAAGGCACUGAUGAGAUCUGACUUGUGUGUAAACAGUUGCUCUCUCAGGACUUUAAGUGCAGAGUGCUCUGUUCGUCUGAUGCUAACCAAAAAAGAAAAACUGUUCAGAAAAUUCCAAACUGUUGUGUUAUACUGGUGUAUUAUACUGCUGUGUUAUACUGGUGUAUUAUACUGCUGUGUUAUACUGGUGUAUUAUACUGCUGUGUUAUACUGGUGUAUUAUACUGUUGUGUUAUACUGGUGUAUUAUACUGUUGUGUUAUACUGGUGUAUUAUACUGCUGUGUUAUACUGGUGUAUUAUACUGUUGUGUUAUACUGGUGUAUUAUAAUGUUGUGUUAUACUGGUGUAUUAUACUGUUGUGUUAUACUGGUGUAUUAUACUGUUGUGUUAUACUGGUGUAUUAUAAUGUUGUGUUAUACUGGUGUAUUAUACUGUUGUGUUAUACUGGUGUAUUAUAAUGUUGUGUUAUACUGGUGUAUUAUACUGUUGUAUUACAUUUACAAUUACAUUUACGGCAUUUAGCAGACUCCCUUAUCCAGAGAGACUUACAACUGAGCAACUGAGGGUUAAGGGCCUUGCUCACCUUCCGAUCAGUAGCCCAACACCUGAACCACUUAACCACUGAGCUACCACACAUUAUACUGCUGUGUUAUACUGGUGUAAACAGAAAGUGAAAAAGCAGCUUUAAUUACCUUUGUC
Tachysurus fulvidraco (yellow catfish) is the source of this 1900-nucleotide long non-coding RNA. RefSeq lists it as uncharacterized. NCBI's taxonomy places the organism in Eukaryota, Metazoa, Chordata, Actinopteri, Siluriformes, Bagridae. The transcript has 3 exons. The record is from RefSeq and is a predicted model, not a curated record.